Molecule: microRNA precursor, 101 nt
Filed under: Strongylocentrotus purpuratus (purple sea urchin)
Lineage: Eukaryota; Metazoa; Echinodermata; Echinoidea; Camarodonta; Strongylocentrotidae
Description: microRNA spu-mir-252a precursor
Gene: spu-mir-252a
Source: miRBase by way of RNAcentral
CACGUGACUAUGUUCCGUCCUAAGUACUAGUGCCGUAGGUUAACUGAGAAGGAAAGUGAAGCUAGACUAUAGCUUCUCAGACCUGUAGUACUAGUACUUAA